UCCGAGUUGACCCCGGCAGUCUCCUGCGAGUCCCCGCCAUUACGCGCUGGCAACACAGGACAAGGGUUGCGCUCGUUGCGGGACUUAACCCAACAUCUCACGACACGAGCUGACGACAGCCAUGCACCACCUGUAUACCGACCACAAGGGGGGCCGUAUCUCUACGGGUACACGGCACAUGUCAAACCCAGGUAAGGUUCUUCGCGUUGCAUCGAAUUAAUCCGCAUGCUCCGCCGCUUGUGCGGGCCCCCGUCAAUUCUUUUGAGUUUUAGCCUUGCGGCCGUACUCCCCAGGCGGCGGACUUACCGCGUGAGCUGCGGCACCGGGGGGGUCGAUACCCCCGACACCUAGUCCGCAUCGUUUACGGCGUGGACUAC
Molecule: unclassified non-coding RNA, 377 nt
Filed under: uncultured Actinomycetes bacterium
Lineage: Bacteria; Bacillati; Actinomycetota; Actinomycetes
Description: uncultured actinobacterium contains 16S-23S intergenic spacer region
Source: RNAcentral